CCUACGGGCGGCAGCAGUGGGGAAUAUUGGACAAUGGGCGAAAGCCUGAUCCAGCCAUGCCGCGUGUGUGAAGAAGGCCUUCGGGUUGUAAAGCACUUUCAGUGGGGAAGAAAGCCUUGGGGCUAAUACCCUCGAGGUAGGACAUCACCCACAGAAGAAGCACCGGCUAACUCCGUGCCAGCAGCCGCGGUAAUACGGAGGGUGCGAGCGUUAAUCGGAAUUACUGGGCGUAAAGCGCGCGUAGGCGGUCUGAUAAGCCGGUUGUGAAAGCCCCGGGCUCAACCUGGGAACGGCAUCCGGAACUGUCAGGCUAGAGUGCAGGAGAGGAAGGUAGAAUUCCCGGUGUAGCGGUGAAAUGCGUAGAGAUCGGGAGGAAUACCAGUGGCGAAGGCGGCCUUCUGGACUGACACUGACGCUGAGGUGCGAAAGCGUGGGUAGCAAACAGGAUUAGAUACCCUUGUAGUC
RNAcentral lists this ribosomal RNA (465 nucleotides) under Vreelandella stevensii. Its description in RNAcentral is "partial 16S ribosomal RNA". It matches the Rfam family "Bacterial small subunit ribosomal RNA", at positions 338 to 795 of the family's 1533-position model. Lineage: Bacteria; Pseudomonadati; Pseudomonadota; Gammaproteobacteria; Oceanospirillales; Halomonadaceae. The record is from RNAcentral.